CGCCCGCUCAAGAAACUUAAAGGUAAGUUGGACGGGGCCCGCACAAGCGGAGGAGCAUGUGGUUUAAUUCGAUGAUACGCGAGGAACCUUACCUGGGCUCGAACGUAAGAUGACUGUAGGUGAAAGCUUACAUCUCUUCGGAGCAUUUUACGAGGUGCUGCAUGGUUGUCGUCAGCUCGUGCCGUGAGGUGUCGGGUUAAGUCCCAUAACGAGCGCAACCCCUACUGCUAGUUGCCAGCGGGUCAUGCCGGGGACUCUAGCGGAACUGCCAGCGUAAGCUGCGAGGAAGGUGGGGAUGACGUCAAAUCAGCACGGCCCUUACGUCCAGGGCUACACACGUGUUACAAUGGCCGGUACAGAGGGCAGCCACCCCGCGAGGGGGCGCGAAUCCCGAAAGCCGGUCCCAGUUCGGAUCGGAGUCUGCAACCCGACUCCGUGAAGCUGGAUUCGCUAGUAAUCGCGCAUCAGCCACGGCGCGGUGAAUACGUUCCCGGGCCUU
Molecule: ribosomal RNA, 499 nt
Filed under: uncultured Sphingobacteriales bacterium
Lineage: Bacteria; Pseudomonadati; Bacteroidota; Sphingobacteriia; Sphingobacteriales
Description: bacterial SSU rRNA
Rfam family: Bacterial small subunit ribosomal RNA
Source: RNAcentral